GCAAAGAGGGACUAUUAAAUGAAGCGAGGGAGCUAUUUGAGAAAAUGGAGGAAUUUGGUUGUCAACCUAACCAUAUCACAUAUAACACAAUUAUCCAAGGCUUCUUGCAUCAUAAUGAGACUUCAUGGGUAGUGAAAUAUAUUGAAAUGAUGGUUGACAAGGGUUUCCCGGCAAAUGCGACCACGGCAACCAUUUUGAUUGACUUGUUGACUACUAAUCAGGCAGAUAAAACAUUACAAGAUUUUUUUCUUAAAUCUGUGUGAAAAAUUUCUAGUUCUUCAACGUUCAUGACAAAUUUGAUAUUCUAAACUUUACAGAGUUAUUCUGUAAGGUACAAACAUAUUUGCUGCAUGUCAUUAAGGGAUCUCAUGAUUGAAGGAACACUCUUGAAGGUCUAGGAGCUUGGUGGUUAUGUGUUGUUGAUUUUGUUUGAUGCUGCUGGAUAUUGGAAAUUGGAUGUUGGUGGUUAUGUGCUGUUCAACUGGAUUUUACAAGUUAGAUGCUGCCAGUUUUUUGGUAAUGAAGCUGCUAGUUUUUCGGUUGAUGCUUCAUCAACGAAAAAUUUAUUUAAACAUUUUGUUGAUGCAUAGCUAUUGAAGAAUAUUGUUCAUUUGGA
Molecule: non-coding RNA, 616 nt
Organism: Corylus avellana
Lineage: Eukaryota; Viridiplantae; Streptophyta; Magnoliopsida; Fagales; Betulaceae
Source: RefSeq, a predicted model, not a curated record